CCUACGGGAGGCAGCAGUGGGGAAUAUUGCUCAAUGGGGGAAACCCUGAAGCAGCGACGCCGCGUGAGGGAAGAAGUAAUUCGUUACGUAAAGCUCUAUCAGCCGGGAAGCAAUACUGACCUUACGGUCAGCAGACGGUACCCGAGUAAGAAGACCCGGCUAACUCCGUGCCAGCAGCCGCGGUAAUACGUAGGGGGCAAGCGUUAUCCGGAUUUACUGGGUGUAAAGGGAGCGGAGACGGUGCGCCAAGUCUGGAGGGAAAUGCCGCAGCUUAACUGCGGAAGUGCUGUGGAAACUGGCUAACUUGAGUGCGGGAGGGGUAAGCGGAAUGCGGAGUGUAGCGGUGAAAUGCUUAGAUAUUAGGAGGAACACCGAUUGCGAAGGCAGCUUACUGGAGCGGAACUGACGUUGAGGCACGAAAGCGUGGGGAGCAAACAGGAUUAGAUACCCUUGUAGUC
Molecule: ribosomal RNA, 458 nt
Filed under: uncultured bacterium
Lineage: Bacteria
Description: partial 16S ribosomal RNA
Rfam family: Bacterial small subunit ribosomal RNA
Source: RNAcentral